RNAcentral lists this ribosomal RNA (475 nucleotides) under uncultured bacterium. RNAcentral describes it as "partial 16S ribosomal RNA". It matches the Rfam family "Bacterial small subunit ribosomal RNA", at positions 355 to 846 of the family's 1533-position model. The record is from RNAcentral.
UGGGGAAUAUUGCACAAUGGGCGAAAGCCUGAUGCAGCAACGCCGCGUGAGUGAUGAAGGUCUUCGGAUUGUAAAGCUCUGUCUUUUGGGACGAUAAUGACGGUACCAAAGGAGGAAGCCACGGCUAACUACGUGCCAGCAGCCGCGGUAAUACGUAGGUGGCGAGCGUUGUCCGGAUUUACUGGGCGUAAAGGGCGCGUAGGCGGAUGUUUAAGUGAGAUGUGAAAUACCCGGGCUUAACUUGGGUGCUGCAUUUCAAACUGGAUAUCUAGAGUGCAGGAGAGGAGAAUGGAAUUCCUAGUGUAGCGGUGAAAUGCGUAGAGAUUAGGAAGAACGCCAGUGGCGAAGGCGAUUCUCUGGACUGUAACUGACGCUGAGGCACGAAAGCGUGGGUAGCAAACAGGAUUAGAUACCCUGGUAGUCCACGCCGUAAACGACGAGUACUAGGUGUAGGAGGUAUCGACCCCUUCUGUGC